This 120-nucleotide long non-coding RNA is filed under the name Dasypus novemcinctus (nine-banded armadillo). RNAcentral's name for it is "lncRNA (ENSDNOG00000051949.1)". The record is from RNAcentral. Lineage: Eukaryota; Metazoa; Chordata; Mammalia; Cingulata; Dasypodidae.
GACCAAGCUCCACAUUUCAUGUCUCCUUAGCCUGGACUUGAAGACCUUCCACAUCACAAGAACCUGCCAAUUGUGACACGUUCACCAACACACAGCUGAUUUAGCCACAGAAUGGGAGAC